This is a non-coding RNA of Mycena latifolia, 104 nucleotides long. The record is from the annotation of a GenBank genome assembly. NCBI's taxonomy places the organism in Eukaryota, Fungi, Basidiomycota, Agaricomycetes, Agaricales, Mycenaceae.
GGGCGUAUGGUGUAGUGGUAUCACUCAUGCUUUGCACGAGCGUUAUGUAAUCGUCUUACGUAAAUCUUUGUAUGCGGUCCAGGGUUCAAACCCCUGUGCGUCCA